CCCACCUGAUUCCAUCCCGAACUCAGAAGUGAAACGAAACAGCGUCGAUGGUAGUGUGGGGUCUCCCCAUGUGAGAGUAGAACAUCGCCAGGC
RNAcentral lists this ribosomal RNA (93 nucleotides) under Vibrio cholerae. The record is from RNAcentral. Lineage: Bacteria; Pseudomonadati; Pseudomonadota; Gammaproteobacteria; Vibrionales; Vibrionaceae.